Molecule: RNA transcript, 3898 nt
Organism: Athalia rosae (coleseed sawfly)
Lineage: Eukaryota; Metazoa; Arthropoda; Insecta; Hymenoptera; Athaliidae
Exons: 12
Source: RefSeq, a predicted model, not a curated record
UUGAGUCGAGUUGAGUCAGAAGUGUAGUCAGUCAGUCAGUCAGUCAGUCGGGCUUUGGUUGCCUAGGGACAGAGACGCACGCGAGUCGCGACGUCGCGGUUUUUGAAAACUAUAUAAAAUCCGCCGGAAAAGCAAUAGUUUUUGCCCUUUUUUUUUCGUUAUUUUCUUGCUCUCAUUUUGGUUGUUUUUUGUGUUUAAAUGAAAAAUCGUAAAUUUCAGAAUACUUAAUUAACUAUAUCGCUUUAAUGAACAUCCUCAAAUUACGUGUUCUUUAUUAAAAAAAAAAAAAUAUAUAUAUAAAAAUAUCAAAUUAGAUUGAACAAUCAAUUAAAUUUGAGUGUAAAAAAAUUUGCGCCACUGAGGUUUUCGAUUCUGUUUUUUCUUCUUACUGUCGGUUUUGUUUUUUUUGUAAUUAAUAAUCGUGGCAUGAUGAACCUUGAUGUCCCUAAUUGUUGACACAUCGCAAAGAACACAAUUGGACGGGAGGGAAAAACCGACAACAAUAUAUAUAUGAUGUGUAACCUUCAAUUAUCAAUCAACCUCAACGACAACAACAACAACAAGAACAACCAAAGGAGAAAUUAUAAAAAUUACAGUUGCAUCUGCAGAAAAAAUUACAAGAAAAUGUUUUUAAUGGUUAUAUUCACAUUGCAAUGUACUCUUCUUACAAAUUUUUCACACGGACAUCCAACUCCGCAGGAAUCGGGUCCAAUUUCCGUUUCAAUAACAACAACGACAACGUCGGGUGCACCCUCCGAGUCGACAACAUUUCCUUAUAAUCCGAAUCAUGGCGCAGGUGUUGACGUUACAGAAUAUUUUUCAGGAUUGAUCGAACCGCAAUAUGAUGUGGUUCGCAGUUCGACGACUAACGAAGCUUUUUCCAAUCCUCUGACGACGACGACGACGACGACAAAAACGUCGAACGAUGUAGAAUUUUCCGACGUGCCUUCGCAUAUCGAAUGCGAAUUUGGAACAUCGGUUCUUCUACCCUGCAGAACCGUUUUUCCCGUUGCAGAGUGUCAAUGGUCCUGGCAACCGCUUCCUCCCAGGCAUUUACCGUUGCCCGACAUCAGCGAAAUACCAACCAUAACGACCACAACAGUGGAGGAGGAUUUACAAAAUCCGUUCAAGCAAUCGGAACCGAUAACUCAACCUUUGCCUGUGCGGAAAUUCACCGCUUUCGGUAACAACAGCAACGAUUGUUCCGUCAGAUUUUCAAGCGCUAAACACGAACAAGCUGGAUAUUGGACGUGCGCCGUCAGACGGACAGAUUCCAAAGAAUUUACGAGCACGAAACCGGCGAAAUUAACCAUUAUCAGCAUCGAUCACGAACUGCCGAUUCGAUUCGUCGAACGUUCGACGAUCGUCGAAGCCUCGGUCGGAUCCUCGACGCAGAUAAAUUGCAGGACCGAACAUCCCGUCAAAGAAUGCCAGUGGUAUUGGCGACAGCUGAAUCAAUCUCAGUCGUGGAAUUUGGAAGUGAAAAAAUUUCCGGCCUUCGGUAACGACAGCAAGGAUUGUAGUAUCAAAUUCAAAAAUGUCCUGGCCGAACAGGAAGGAUAUUGGACCUGCGGUGCACGAAAUAACUUGAAUUCAACAUUCGCGCAAUCUAGUCCGAUCCGAUUUCUCAUUUCAGCAGUCGAAUUUGUACAACUCUCGCGUGGGGUGCAAAUAGCUGCUGGCGAAACUGUACUGUUGAGAUGUUCGACAAAUAAACCAGUUUAUCAAUGCGAAUGGUCGUGGAGACCCAGUAAUGCGACCAAAGUGAAAACUAACGUUAAAAAAUUCACACCCGACAAAGAAUCCGAGCACGAUUGUUCGGUGAGGUUCAAAAAUAUUCUCUACGAAGAGGAAGGUCUGUGGACUUGUGGCGUUCGUUUAACACCAGAUGGUAUUUUGCACGAAGCUCUACCUGCGGUCGUCACGCUUUUGCCUCCAGCUAAGGUGAGUUUCGUCGAAACGCCCCAAGAUACUUCGGUAGCUGUGGGUACCGCGGCAAAUUUGAGGUGCGUUACGAACGCGAGAGUUGAAAAAUGUUCUUGGAUUUGGAAACCGCUUAACGGAGACGACGUGGAGACGGUGGUGAAAGAAUUUUCCAGCAAAGGAGAGCUAGGAAAAGACUGCAGCCUCUUGUUACCCCAAGUUUUUAGCGAACAGCAGGGAUUUUGGGGUUGCCAAGUUUGGCUACCCUCUCAAAAUUCGCUGCAAAAUGCUCCGGUGGUAAAACUGACGGUAUUCGAAGUCGACGAAGUUAAAUUUUCCGAGCUGUCCCAAGACAUACAAAUAUCAUCCGGUGGUAGCGUACUGCUUCGUUGUGUCACGUCGUCCAAGGUCGAACAAUGUCGAUGGUCGUUAACACCGGACAGUACGAACACCACCGUUGUUGUCAAACAAUUCCCCGCCGCUGGUGCGGAUAGCAGAGAUUGUAGCGUGCGUCUCAGUCACGCUCUGGCGGAACAAGAGGGCCUUUGGACUUGCGGCGCAAGAAUACGCGGUCGCCAAAACUACACAGAUGCGCCACCGGCGAAGCUGAGUUUACUUCAACCAGAACCGGUGAUGAUAGCUCUGUGGACAACACCUUUGCAAAAGAUUAAUCUAGCUUGCCGGUUAAGUCCAAUUAUUCCAAGGGCCCAAUGUCACUGGCUUCGUGCACCCAACGUCCACUUGCAACCGAGUCUAACUGCUAAAAAAUCCAGGUACGUCGUUCAGAUGAAUUAUUCAACCGGGUUCUGCUCGCUUCAAUUUAAACCGGAUGAAGAAGACCUGGGCGAAUGGAUGUGCAAAUUUACCGACGAACAUAAUAACACUGAAUUCGGAACAGCUUCGUUGGUGGUCUUUGGCACACUACCAGACCCAAGACUCGGUUGGAUCGUGGGAUUGUUGACUGGAGUCGUACUUUUGUUGAUGAUAAUAGUGGUGGUAUUGGUCGUUUGUAGAACGCACAUAUUUUUUAAUCGUACACCAAUAUUGGAAACAAUUCCUUCCAACUCUCAAAAAAAGAGAGUCCAUGGCGAAGAUAAUUCCAAUUGCUAUAUGGAAGGACCGAAUAGAAUUAAUUUUCAAUUUCGUACCGAUCAAAGUUCACCGAAUAUCAAUGCUAAUCAGGGCUCCACGGUCUCCGAUGAACAGAAGAAGAAGAAAGUUAACGAGAUCUACGAAAACAUCGGAUAGAAUCAGGAACGCACCAUUUAUUCUUUGGCCUUUCAUAAACAUCAAAGCUAGAAAGCGGCACGUUGACCAUGCCCAGGAAUUCAUCUACGCCAAGAAAAUUUCUGUGUAAAACAGGUCAAUUAAUGGGUCAAGACGUGUUCAUGGCUCAUCAAAUUACACGCUCAUACUUUGACCCUACAGCCACUUAGUCGAAGCGCUCAUCAUAUCAAGAUAUAUUACAUUCAAAAUUUACAUAUGCAAGAAAUUUGGUUGCAAGGUAACAAAGGCGAUGAAUAAUCUUCCAGACUACAGCUGAAUAAAAAUAGCUUCACAUAUUUUGGAGAAAACAUUUUUAAAAUCUACCAGACAAUUCACAAAAAGAUAGUCCAGUAUUUUCUCAAUUCCAAUUGGUUUAUCAGCUUUAAUCUCGCUGUGUCGAGUUGAGUGUAUUUGAUUCCAUUUAAUUAGUGGUAGCGUUGUGGUAUAUCUCAUCUUAUCAGUUUAUACUCACUUCCAGCUUAAGCCUUGAAUCUACUUCCUGCGACUCGAAGAUAAUUCUAAAUUAACUAAAGUUAUUUGUGUUUAUAUAUAUGAUUCAAAUCUUUUGCAUGGCAAAAGUGAAUAAUUUCAAUUUUAUUUCCCAACGUAUCUCAGAAUUCACUUUCUUUUGGUUGUUUAUUAUAUUACUCGCUGAAAUUUCUCGAGGUGGAGUAGAUUCGUUACGGUCUAAUAAAAUAUUCCAUAUAUU